GUCUUUGAACUGAGGAAAAAAAAAAAAAAAAAUAAAAAAAUCCGAGGCGUGAUUAUUGCUAGUUGAAAACUUUUCCCAAUACCCCGCCAUGAUGACUUGAAAUACAGUCAGCAUUGGCAAUUUUUGAUAGUCUCUGAGGAGA
Bufo gargarizans (Asiatic toad) is the source of this 142-nucleotide small nuclear RNA. RefSeq annotates it as U4 spliceosomal RNA. The transcript has a single exon. The record is from RefSeq and is a predicted model, not a curated record. NCBI's taxonomy places the organism in Eukaryota, Metazoa, Chordata, Amphibia, Anura, Bufonidae.